Molecule: long non-coding RNA, 972 nt
Organism: Ostrinia nubilalis (European corn borer)
Lineage: Eukaryota; Metazoa; Arthropoda; Insecta; Lepidoptera; Crambidae
Exons: 4
Source: RefSeq, a predicted model, not a curated record
GUCUUGCUUGAUCCUUCUUUGUAAAACACAUUUUAGCUUUUAUUUUCGGAACUUUAUUAACUACAAACUUGGCUAUUCAAACGGACUCUGAUUGAUUGCAAUAACGACAUACUCAGCCUGGGAUUUACUGUUUUUGUGUGGCUCGGCCAAGGCUCGGCUGGUGGUUCUAUGGUUUAGAAAAUGAGCAACUUAAUUAUACACAACAAUGGGCAGCACCUCGAUCGGUUACAGCUCAUGAUCUUAUAUGCACAACAUGUUGGACCCAAGCCCAAGAUACAACACAAAUGCAUCUACUUCAAAUCUUAGCAGAAAAUGUGUGCUUUGCAGUAGAACACUAGAGCCUAGAACACGUUCACAUCAGCUCAUGUCCCUGAGAACUAACACUCAACAUCAUAUUAACAUCAGGAAUAUAAUUGUGGAACGACUAACUCCAUUAGAGGUUACUGCAAAUGACUACAUCUGUGGGGCUUGUCACUCAUUAUUGCAAAGAGAUACCACACCUACUUCACAAGACUCUCCAGAUAUGCCAACCGGUGCCCCGGUAGGUCACCAACAAGUUUGUGUUGGAUGUGGUUGUUCAUUAUUGCGAACUUGAAGUCAUUGUUUGGAUACAGAGAAUAAUCAAGAUAUAUUAAACAUUGUUCGAAAUUGGAUUCAACCCAGAGAGAUUCGUCCUUCAGAUCUUCUUUGCCAUAGAUACUAUCAGAGAGCACGAAUUACUACAGUUGGUGCUUAUUUAAUGAAGCUGAGGACCGGUGAUUCAGAUGACAGAAUAGCUACAUUACUUGGCAUUUCAAGGAGUACUCUUACAAAAUAUGUAAUGAAAGCACGCAGUAUGAUGGAGGAACAUUUCGUACCAGCACAUUUAGGGUUACAACAUAUUAGUAGAGAGGAAGUAGCCCAAAGAAACCUUUAUGUUCCAGUCUCUUUUCGGGAAGCCAGGAAACGAUUUACCACAAAGAAAGGCUAUUG